Molecule: long non-coding RNA, 3775 nt
Organism: Myotis myotis
Lineage: Eukaryota; Metazoa; Chordata; Mammalia; Chiroptera; Vespertilionidae
Exons: 3
Source: RefSeq, a predicted model, not a curated record
AGCCUCCCAGAGGUAGGAGCCUGGAGUCUUAGAGGACAGAGGCAGGGAUUUCUUCCCAGAGAGCAGAGUCAGAGUCCAGUCAAGGAACUCCCACUGCCAGGGCAAAGGGGCCUCCUCAAUGCCUCACCAACAGGAUUUCAUAACUAUGGAGGGCUGGGGCCUCCGGUGUCCCACAUGCCUCCUAUGGGCAUUUUAUCACAGAUCAUGCCAGGGAUCCACCAUUGUGACUGUGGAGAUAAAUUUGUCUUAGCUCCUGACCUUUAGGAGCCACAUUCAAACUGGUGCCUCACCUGGAGAUCUUGGAAUUUGAGUGGGAUAUAGUAACUGGAUGGGACUUUGGGCUGCUGCCUCUGAGGAAAGUGAGGGUGUUCUAUGAGGGCAAGAAGAUAAAAAAAAAUGUAUAUUUGGAUCUAAAGGGAGGGCCAUUCCUAAGACUGGUAGUUAUUCAUUUAAAAAUGUCCUCUUUCUGGGUGAACAGACUGCAGUUCCCAGACUCCCUUGCAGCUGCAUGAGCCCACAUGAUUGAAUCCUAGCCAAAGGAGCAUGGGUACAAAUGCUGUUUUGUUAUUUCCUGACUCAUAAAAACUUCCCAUGGGCAAUCCUUUCUGCUCUUUCACCUUCAGCCAACUGGUUGGAGACAACUCAACUACCACUUUGUAAAUUUCAUGUUGGAGAUGGCACAGUCUUACCAGCCUGGGUCCCUGAAUGAUGAAGUGGAGCAGAACCCUUUCUUACCUCCCUACUCCCCAACCCAGAGCUACUUAAAACUGUUAUAAGAGAGCAAAGAGAAAUUUCAGUUACAUUUCAGAGAUAUGAAUUUUAGUCUGUUAACUGGUACACAAACAUGGACUACCGGAAGCAAUACUACAAUAUAAAGGAGUUGAGAACCAAGGAGCAGUAGUGGAAUUAGAUGAGUUAAAUACGUCAUGGAGGGGUUCUGGGAAGAGGUAAACCUUGAGGUUGACUUUGAAGAAGCUGUAGAACACCUGAGAAAAAUAACUUUUUACAUAGUUAUCAAAAGUAAUUGCCUUCCCAUGUGAUAAGAAUGAAAUAUCUUCCUAUGAAUUUGAAAAAAAUACCUCUAUGCAGUGAGAAUUGGCCUGCCGAACUUGUAAAGUGUAACUUAUUUUGAGAAACACCAAUGGCAAGGAGCCAGCUAAGAUCAAAGGUCACAAUUUCAUAAUCCUCAGGCCAUAUCAAGCCUACUGGCCAGAGCUGCCUCUCAGACAUGUUUUUACAGUGUUGUUGUUUUUUGAGGGGUUGGGGUGGGCGGUUAGAGAUAUCCCUUCUGAAACUUGGAUAUUGUUCCGAGUUCCGACAACCUUGAGUUUAUCUAUAUUCCUUCAUGACAAUAAUCAGCUGAUGCUGAGUCUUAGCUGUUGUCCACUGUGGCCUCCAGUCUGACAGAGCCCACCAUUCCUGGGAUGGCCCCACACUGUUAAUCGCUGGCAUGUGUCACUAAUCCGGUUACCUACCUGGCUUAGGUAGUCAUUUGAGGUUGUGUCCCAAAGCCAGACGAUAUACCUGAUUCAUAAAGUUUUGUGACAAUUCAUUUUAAAAAUGUUUUUAAAGUUCACAUAAUUUGGACCCUUAAAGACGAAAACAACUAGAACUUGUUUUAUUAUCUAUUUGGUUUUGUUUUACUUCAUAGAUCCAAGAUGUUGGAAAUGACAGACGGAGUUAUGCUUUUCCCUCACAGGUAAUGACUUACACUCUCUGAGGAAGCAAGAAGAAAUUGGACCCACAACAGAGGUGGCAGAAUCGGGCCUCUCAGAGAAAGGACAAGAAAGUGAAGAAAGUGGGGAUCUGCCCAGAAAGCUCAGAUGGCAAAGUUUGGAAGUUUGAGAAAAGCACUGAAGAUAGAAUAACAAAGAGGACUGGUGGAUGGAAAUGAUUAAAGGCAAGGACUUUUGAUUCUCACAGCAAAUCCAAGCCCUGCACGUCCUUGCAAUCUCUGUAGAAGCCCUGCCCCUCAGUCACCAGGCUCCAGGACUGGGGUCUGGGGCUGUGCAGAAGACAGGAUGGACUCAGAUGCAACUGGAUAUCAUGGAGGCAGUAACAAGAUAGUCCACAUGGUAGAAAAUGCAGGCCUGGAUUUGAGCAGUGGUUUAAGGGAAAGGGGAGGUGGGACUGGGAUUUAAAGACAUAAAUGCUGUAGAAUUGAGAGGACUACAUGACCAACUAGAUAUGAGAGUUAGGACAUUGGUCCUGGAUGGGUGCCUGGGACAGACAGUGUGUCUGUAGGAGGGUCUAUCGCAGCAGUACUGACACCUACAAAGGUACACAACAGUCACACAUUACACAUUUUGUGGGGCUGGGAGUGUCCUACACAGCCUCUUGGGUCUUCCUCCUCCCUCCUUUUACAGAGGAGACACUGAGUCCCAGGGGUGUGAAGUCACUUACCCAUGAUCGCAGAGUUAGUGUCCAAGACAGCCCUGGAACCAAAUGACUGGAAGGGAAAGAGAAGAGUUGGAGAGAGACGGGGAGAAGAAGAGAGAAGGGGCAUGCAUUCAUUCAUCCCUCCACUCACUUCUUCAUUCGGCAAGUAGGUAUUGCCUUUUAGGUUCUGGGACCUGCUUUUAGGGAACUUCUAGCCAGGGAGGGGCCAUAGACGGCCUUUGGGAAAAGUGUGCAGGAUUCGUGGGACCCCCAGGAGGAAAGAGUCAUUUCUGUGUGGUGCUGGAGUGGGUGGAUGCGAGUGCCAGGAAAAGCGUCCAACUUGACCAAGGAAGCACCUUGACCGAGUGUUAAAAGAUGAGGUGGACCAAGUGGAAAAGGACAGCUCAUCAGAGGGAGUGAGAGCCAGGCCAGAAAGCAAGCUGUCUGAGGUAGCCCUCAGGUUGAAGAGUGAGGGAGUGUGUCCCCUUGGAAACCCUGUUUGACUGGUGGGGGAACAUAGUGGGAAACUUCAAAGAGAGGUGUUGCUGUAGCGUGGGGGAUGGCUUUGCCCCUUGCAGGCCUGGUCAGUGCACAUCAGCCAGCGGGAGGGAAGAAAGUUGUCUCGGAAAACUGGAGGGGGCAGAGCACAAAGCCAGAACCAGGGCUCCAGGAUCAGCUCCACUGCACCCAAACCGCCAGAUACCACACUGGGCACUUGGACCCUGGAGGCGAGUCAGAUUAAUAAAUAACACAAAUAAAAAGUGGCCGCGCUAAAACCCAUGAGCAAGAGUGUUGAGAGAGGGGGUAAUUCCAUCCAGCUGGGAAGGAGGCGCAGAGGGAGGAUCCUGAGGAAGAAGCAGGAUGUCGAUAGAGUUGAUGGGAGUCAUAGAGAAAUAAAAGACUUACCGGGGAACCAUGAAUUAUUCUGACAGCAUUUCUGCCUUAGGGAGGAGCGUCCGUGGGUUUCACAGAAGCAGCGCUGGGCCCUGUGUUUUCUCUGAGCCCGGCUCCUUGGGUCUGCCUACCUCAUCCUCUCACCUGCCGGGUCAGCAGUUCUCUUACUGGGGCUGUCUUGGCUUCAUUUCCACAGUUUGUGUGGCUCUCUGUAGAUGUUAAAUAAAUGUCCGUUGAAUGAUUAAAAAUGGCGAUGAGAAAAUAUUUGGAAGGGCCUCAAUCCUCCCACCACUAGGGAAAAUCUGGGAUUUUAAAACAGAAAGUUUGGUUUGCCCACAGGGCUUCCUUCUCCAGGUUCUGCAUCUUUUCUUGUGUCUUCUGAUGUUUUUGUGAAUCCGUCUGAAGUUUGGUGAACCAGUCCCAGAACAAGGCGUGUGUAUGUCUUUGUCAAGUAGUAGAUUCUUUUAUUUUAGAACAAAGUUUUAAAUAUUAUAAUAAAAUA